GAUUGUGGUUCACUUCUAAAAUCCGGAUCAUCAGAUGGCUCUUUCGAUGUAACAUUUGGGAUCUUGAUCAUUCGUUGUUGGUUGUUUGACGUGCGAGUGAUUGAUAGUGUUCUUGUUUUCGGGGGUGACAUCUUUGGGGGUUGGGUUUGAUUCCUCUUUUGUUGAUUGAUUAUCUUUUGUGAAUUGAAUCAUUUGGUUCUUUUCCUUUAUCCCCACGUAUCUUAUACUUAUUAUCAACUACUCUUACUGGGAAUUAACUGCAAAACCGUAGAGGAGUUUAUAUUUCUUCCUCAUCUAUAUGUUCUUCAAUUCUAAAGUUCCUUCUUCUAUCAAGAAUUCAAGCAAAACUUAUCGCUUAUGCAAAAGAUGAACUUAUCGGGUUUGUUCAGUCGUUCGUUUCCAGGGAAACAAUGAUGAUUCUUAGGAUGUUGAGGAUGAAAACGAUGAAUAAUUUCUUUUGGAAAGAAGAUAGUCAUCGUGGACCUGCCACUACUCUUGGCUGCAGUACUACUGUUCCACCACCACCUGCUCGACAAAUUGUCCCAAUAGUGCCACUGCAACCCGCCAAGGUCGCAGCUAUGUUUGAAAAACCUACGCCGUUGGUUACACCAGCAGCCUUUGAGGAAGACGAGGAGAUCAUAAAAUCCGUGGUGCAGGGGAAAAUGCCGUCGUACUCUUUGGAAUCGAAACUCGGUGAUGGGAGAUACAUGAAUUCCUGAUAAUAUCUUUAGUAUGAAACUUAUUAUGCGCAACUUCUUCGACAAUACGGCUACAGUGUAGAAGGCAAUGUCAUUACCCUCAUCUCCCCAUGGGUUGAGGAGGCAGGCUCCAAAAAGUAGUGGGCCGGACAGGACGAAUAAUGAAUUGUUUGCAACCUGGAACAGGAUUCUAGAAUCACAUAUGUAUCAGAAUAAGCCUCUUCUACCUUUUGAAGAAUGGAAUAUAGACUUCUCAGAGUUGACUGUUGGCACUCGAGUUGGAAUAGGCCUGUAUUGACUGCACAUUUGCUCCUUGGUCUCAUGCUUUGUAGACUAGAAUGCUAUUGCUGGUGGAUCAUGCUCUGCCAACUUUAAUGUAUGAGCAACCUAGCUCAUCCUUUGUCAUCAUCUUAUGAAGUCCUUGAUCCUUUUGGGCGUUAAUUAGCAUUAAAUGAAGAUCAGAUAUAUCUGAUUCACUUCAGCCAAUGGAGGAUUCUACAGGGGGUGGGUACUUGGGGACCGUAUUCAAGUAAACCUAAGCAAAUGAAGGUUCAUAUGUGUUGUAUGAGGGAGCGAGGGAAGUAGAUCACCCUUAGCUAUCAGAAUAAGCCUCUUCUACCUUUUGAAAAAUAAAAUAUAGACUUCUCAAAGUUGAUGAGUCGGAAUAGGUAAGCAUUGAACUUUCACAUUUUUGUAGUAGUGCUUAUAUAUUUCAGCUUCUUUCUUUGUUUAUUUGUUAAGUUCUGCGACAACAUAUUUUUUUAGUGCCACUAAUAGGCCUGCAUUGACUGCACAUUUGCUCCUUGGUCUCAUGCUUUGUAGACUAGAAUGCUAUGGCUGGUGGAUCAUGCUCUGCCAACUUUAAUGUACGAGCAACCUAGCUCAUCCUUUGUCAUCAUCUCAUGAAGUCUUUGAUCCUUUUGUGCGUUAAUUAGCAUUAAAUGAAGAUUGGAUAUAUCUUCUUCACUUCAGCCAAUGGAGGAUUCUACAGAGGCAUGGAUACUUGGGGACCGUAUUCAAGUAAACCUAAGCAAAUGAAGGUUCAUAUGUGUUGUAUGAGGGAGCGAGGGAAGUAGAUCUCCCUUAGCUAUCAGAAUAAGCCUCUUCUACCUUUUGAAGAAUGGAAUAUAGACUUCUCAGAGUUGAUUGUUGGCACUCUAGUUGGAAUAGACUAGAAUGCUAUUGCUGGUGGAUCAUGAUCUGCCAACUUUAAUGUAUGAGCAACCUAGCUCAUCCUUUGUCAUCAUCUCAUGAAGUCCUUGAUCCUUUUGUGCGUUAAUUAGCAUUAAAUGAAGAUCGGAUAUAUCUGAUUCACUUCAGCCAAUGGAGGAUUCUACAGGGGGAUGGAUACUUGGGGACCGUAUUCAAGUAAACCUAAGCAAAUGAAGGUUCAUAUGUGUUGUAUGAGGGAGCGAGGGAAGUAGAUCACCCUUAGCUAUCAGAAUAAGCCUCUUCUACCUUUUGAAGAAUAAAAUAUAGACUUCUCAAAGUUGAUGAGUCGGAAUAGAUUUGCUCCUUCGUCUCAUGCUUUGUAGACUAGAAUGCUAUGGCUGGUGGAUCAUGCUCUGCCAACUUUAAUGUACGAGCAACCUAGCUCAUCCUUUGUCAUCAUCUCAUGAAGUCUUUGAUCCUUUUGUGCAUUAGUUAGCAUUAAAUGAAGAUCGGAUAUAUCUGCUUCACUUCAGCCAAUGGAGGAUUCUACAGAGGGAUGGAUACUUGGGGACCAUAUUCAAGUAAACCUAAGCAAAUGAAGGUUCAUGUGUGUUGUGUGAGGGAGCGAGGGAAGUAGAUCACCCUUAGCUAUCAGAAUAAGCCUCUUCUACCUUUUGAAGAAUGGAAUAUAGGCUUCUCUGAGUUGAUUGUUGGCACUCGGGUUGGAAUAGGCAAGCAUUGUACUUGCAUAUUUUUGUAGUAGUGGUUAUAUAUUUCAGCUUCUUUCUUUGUUUAUUUGUUAAUUUCUUCGAUAACAUAUUUCUCUAGUGCCACUAAUAGGCCUGCAUUGACUGUGCAUUUACUCCUUGGUCUCAUGCUUUGCAGACUAGAAUGCUAUUGCUUGUGGAUCAUGCUCUGACAACUUUAAUGUAUGAGCAACCUAGCUCAUCCUUUGUCAUCAUCUCAUGAAGUCUUUGAUCCUUUUGUGCAUUAAUUAGUAUUAAAUGAAGAUCGGAUAUAUCUGCUUCACUUCAAAUAAUGGAGGAUUCUACAAGGGGGAUGGAUACGUGGGGACCGUAUUCAAGUAAACCUAAUAGAAAAUCGGAUAUGUCAGUAGCUAUGACUGCUGCAGCUUUUAUGGCAGGAGCUCUUGGAGCUGCUCAGACUGGCAGCUCAUUCAGUCAAUCUGGAGUAGAUUCUUUAAUGCUACAUAUGUUCAAAUUGUCUAGGAGCCAACUGAAUGAUGUAAUGUCUGAGUUUAAGGUCAGGAUGUUGAUUAAA
Molecule: non-coding RNA, 3131 nt
Organism: Nicotiana tabacum (common tobacco)
Lineage: Eukaryota; Viridiplantae; Streptophyta; Magnoliopsida; Solanales; Solanaceae
Source: RefSeq, a predicted model, not a curated record